UUACUCCAGAUUUUGCGUCAGUUCAGAGGGUUAUCUUCGAGGAACUGCAGUUCUACUAAAUAAUUCCUGAGACACUAUGCAGCACCUGGCUGGUGUGCAACAUAAAGCGGGUCAUUGAGAUCUGGGUUAUUCAUAAAGCUCCGGAACAUGGUCAUGAAAGAGUGUCUCAGCACCAUGGGUGCCAUCCUUUUAUGUCCUACACAACAUGAAACAUGGAGUGGAGUUGGGUUGCAAAGAGGCUUGCAGACAUGGAGCAAUUGUAGUUGCUGGAGGUCACCCUGCUGUUCCAGUUUGAAAUUAUAUAAUAAUUAGACAGAAUGAAACCAGGACACCAAGGAGCUGUGGUGCCACUAUGGUGCAACGUGACUCACAGAGCGCACAGAAAUUGGG
Long non-coding RNA from Oreochromis aureus, 390 nucleotides. RefSeq lists it as uncharacterized. The record is from RefSeq and is a predicted model, not a curated record. NCBI's taxonomy places the organism in Eukaryota, Metazoa, Chordata, Actinopteri, Cichliformes, Cichlidae. The transcript has 3 exons.